GACGAACGCUGGCGGCGUGCCUAAUACAUGCAAGUCGAGCGAAGUUUUUCUGGUGCUUGCACCGGAAAAACUUAGCGGCGAACGGGUGAGUAACACGUAAAGAACCUGCCUCAUAGACUGGGACAACUAUUGGAAACGAUAGCUAAUACCGGAUAACAGCAUUAACUGCAUGGUUGAUGUUUGAAAGUUGGUUUUGCUAACACUAUGAGAUGGCUUUGCGGUGCAUUAGCUAGUUGGUGGGGUAAAGGCCUACCAAGGCGACGAUGCAUAGCCGACCUGAGAGGGUGAUCGGCCACACUGGGACUGAGACACGGCCCAGACUCCUACGGGAGGCAGCAGUAGGGAAUCUUCCGCAAUGGGCGAAAGCCUGACGGAGCAACGCCGCGUGAGUGAAGAAGGAUUUCGGUUCGUAAAGCUCUGUUGUAAGAGAAGAACGAGUGUGAGAGUGGAAAGUUCACACUGUGACGGUAUCUUACCAGAAAGGGACGGCUAACUACGUGCCAGCAGCCGCGGUAAUACGUAGGUCCCGAGCGUUGUCCGGAUUUAUUGGGCGUAAAGCGAGCGCAGGCGGUUAGAUAAGUCUGAAGUUAAAGGCUGUGGCUUAACCAUAGUACGCUUUGGAAACUGUUUAACUUGAGUGCAAGAGGGGAGAGUGGAAUUCCAUGUGUAGCGGUGAAAUGCGUAGAUAUAUGGAGGAACACCGGUGGCGAAAGCGGCUCUCUGGCUUGUAACUGACGCUGAGGCUCGAAAGCGUGGGGAGCAAACAGG
RNAcentral lists this ribosomal RNA (768 nucleotides) under uncultured bacterium. RNAcentral's name for it is "bacterial SSU rRNA". It matches the Rfam family "Bacterial small subunit ribosomal RNA", at positions 28 to 776 of the family's 1533-position model. The record is from RNAcentral.